This is a long non-coding RNA of Nematostella vectensis (starlet sea anemone), 362 nucleotides long. RefSeq lists it as uncharacterized. The record is from RefSeq and is a predicted model, not a curated record. The transcript has 2 exons. Lineage: Eukaryota; Metazoa; Cnidaria; Anthozoa; Actiniaria; Edwardsiidae.
AAAUCAGUCGAGACUUCAAAGCGUGCGAACGUGUUUCACGGAGCUCCCGACAAACCAGAAAAUGAGUCGAGCUACAGUGCAAACCUAUCCAAGUGCACAAAGUUUGAAGCCAAAGUUCCAAUGCAUCUCCUCAAACCACCACUCGUACUACCAGCUCUCCACUACCAGUACAAUGUUAAUAUUUGUUUAUUGUAAAUAACUGGAUAAGGCAUGAUCAAGUGUGCUUUACAUGCACAGACUGAUCUUGCAGUUUACAAUAUCAUUCAUGUAAGCACUGUACCUGAAGAUAUUCCCAAAAUAUAAAGUGUAAUUCAGUGUAAAUAACAGCAUGAAAACAUUAAUAAAAACUACUUGUUGUUUGA